UAACCUGCCUCAUACAGGGGGAUAACAGUUAGAAAUGGCUGCUAAUACCGCAUAAGCGCACAGCAUUGCAUGAUGCCGUGUGAAAAACUACUGGUGGUAUGAGAUGGACCCGCGUCUGAUUAGCUAGUUGGUGAGGUAACGGCCCACCAAGGCGACGAUCAGUAGCCGACCUGAGAGGGUGACCGGCCACAUUGGGACUGAGACACGGCCCAA
Molecule: ribosomal RNA, 213 nt
Filed under: uncultured bacterium
Lineage: Bacteria
Description: partial 16S ribosomal RNA
Rfam family: Bacterial small subunit ribosomal RNA
Source: RNAcentral